GACGAACGCUGGCGGCGUGCUUAACACAUGCAAGUCGAACGGAAAGGCCCUGCUUUUGUGGGGUGCUCGAGUGGCGAACGGGUGAGUAACACGUGAGUAACCUGCCCUUGACUUUGGGAUAACUUCAGGAAACUGGGGCUAAUACCGGAUAGGAGCUCCUGCUGCAUGGGGGGGGUUGGAAAGUUUCGACGGUUGGGGAUGGACUCGCGGCUUAUCAGCUUGUUGGUGGGGUAGUGGCUUACCAAGGCUUUGACGGGUAGCCGGCCUGAGAGGGUGACCGGCCACAUUGGGACUGAGAUACGGCCCAGACUCCUACGGGAGGCAGCAGUGGGGAAUAUUGCACAAUGGGCGGAAGCCUGAUGCAGCAACGCCGCGUGCGGGAUGACGGCCUUCGGGUUGUAAACCGCUUUCGCCUGUGACGAAGCGUGAGUGACGGUAAUGGGUAAAGAAGCACCGGCUAACUACGUG
This 468-nucleotide ribosomal RNA is filed under the name uncultured bacterium. Its description in RNAcentral is "partial 16S ribosomal RNA". It matches the Rfam family "Bacterial small subunit ribosomal RNA", at positions 28 to 507 of the family's 1533-position model. The record is from RNAcentral.